AUUGAACGCUGGCGGAAUGCUUUACACAUGCAAGUCGAACGGCAGCACGGACUUCGGUCUGGUGGCGAGUGGCGAACGGGUGAGUAACAUAUCGGAACGUAUCCAAUAAUGGGGGAUAACGAGUCGAAAGAUUCGCUAAUACCGCAUACGCCCUACGGGGAAAGCUGGGGACCUUCGGGCCUGGCGUUAAUGGAGCGGCCGAUAUCUGAUUUGCUAGUUGGUGAGGUACAGGCUCACCAAGGCGACGGUCAGUAGCUGGUCUGAGAGGACGACCAGCCACACUGGGACGGCGACUCGGUCCAGACGCCUACGGUAGGCAGCAGUGGGGAAUUUUUGAGAGUGGGGGCAAGCCUGACCCAGCCAUUCCGCGUGAGAGAAGAAGGCAUUCGGGUUGUAAAGCUCUUUCGCAAGGGAAGAAAACUUAGCCACUAACAUCGGUUGAGGUUGACGGUACCUUGAUAAGAAGCACCGGCUAACUACGUGCCAGCCGCCGCAGUAA
Molecule: ribosomal RNA, 499 nt
Filed under: uncultured bacterium
Lineage: Bacteria
Description: partial 16S ribosomal RNA
Rfam family: Bacterial small subunit ribosomal RNA
Source: RNAcentral